UACGGAGGGGGCUAGCGUUGUUCGGAAUUACUGGGCGUAAAGCGCGCGUAGGCGGAUCUGCAAGUCGGGGGUGAAAUCCCGAGGCUCAACCUCGGAACUGCCUUCGAUACUGCGGGUCUCGAGUCCGGGAGAGGUGAGUGGAAUUCCUAGUGUAGAGGUGAAAUUCGUAGGUAUUAGGAAGAACACCAGUGGCGAAGGCGGCUCACUGGCCCGGUACUGACGCUGAGGCGCGAAAGCGUGGGGAGCAAACAGG
This 253-nucleotide ribosomal RNA is filed under the name uncultured bacterium. RNAcentral's name for it is "partial 16S ribosomal RNA". It matches the Rfam family "Bacterial small subunit ribosomal RNA", at positions 524 to 776 of the family's 1533-position model. The record is from RNAcentral.